CAAUGACUUUAUCAUAAAUGCAACAAGUGGGGAUGGGAAUGUGGAGAGUGAUUUCCUAGAAGAGAGAAACUGAGGCUCGGCUGGUGAAAAAGGUUCCACGAGGCUCCUCCUCAUCCAGAGCCUUAGAAGGAAGGCCCAGUGAGAGUCCCACCUUGCAGGACUGCUGUGAGCAUGAAAGAGUGCAAGGACUCGGAACACGGGGUGGGACUCUGAGUGCCCCCCCGCCCCAUGAUGCCGCAAUCCUGAUGCCGCAAUCCCUUGUUCCUGACGCCAUCUACUCCAGUGUGUCUCAUCCUUCUCAAAGGAACCCACUCAGAGGGCCAGAGCAGCCCAGUCAGUCGGAGUGUGGUACAAGGAUCUCUGGGAGCUAAUCCUGAGUCACUACCAGCUGUCUGGUCUUGUCACCAAUGUCACUUCCAAGCUCAGUCUGUGCAUCUGCAGGAUGGAGGCAAAUGUGCCUCAGGAUGCAGUAGUGCAGACAAAUUAAGACCACAUGUGUGAGCAGAGUGAUUGUUGAACGCAGGAUGCCACAUUCCCAUAGAGUCUGCAUCGCCAGGCUGGGUCAUCUGCCUGCCUGCCUGCCUGUGG
Molecule: non-coding RNA, 588 nt
Organism: Peromyscus maniculatus bairdii (prairie deer mouse)
Lineage: Eukaryota; Metazoa; Chordata; Mammalia; Rodentia; Cricetidae
Source: RefSeq, a predicted model, not a curated record